GCUGGUGUGGCGAAACUGGUAAACGCAGUGAUCUCUCACAUCACUGGACGAAAGUCCUUGCGGGUUCGAAUCCCGUCACCAGCACCC
RNAcentral lists this transfer RNA (87 nucleotides) under Gemmatimonadota bacterium. RNAcentral's name for it is "Gemmatimonadetes bacterium tRNA-Glu". It matches the Rfam family "tRNA". Rfam says of the family: Transfer RNA (tRNA) molecules are approximately 80 nucleotides in length. The record is from RNAcentral. Lineage: Bacteria; Pseudomonadati; Gemmatimonadota.